This 497-nucleotide ribosomal RNA is filed under the name uncultured bacterium. RNAcentral's name for it is "partial 16S ribosomal RNA". It matches the Rfam family "Bacterial small subunit ribosomal RNA", at positions 28 to 507 of the family's 1533-position model. The record is from RNAcentral.
GAUGAACGCUGGCGGCGUGCCUAAUACAUGCAAGUCGAGCGAACAGACGAGGCGCUUGCUCCUCUGACGUUAGCGGCGGACGGGUGAGUAACACGUGGAUAACCUACCUAUAAGACUGGGAUAACUUCGGGAAACCGGAGCUAAUACCGGAUAAUAUAUUGAACCGCAUGGUUCAAUAGUGAAAGACGGUUUUGCUGUCACUUAUAGAUGGAUCCGCGCCGCAUUAGCUAGUUGGUACGGUAACGGCUUACCAAGGCUACGAUGCGUAACCGACCUGAGAGGGUGAUCGGCCACACUGGAACUGAGACACGGUCCAGACUCCUACGGGAGGCAGCAGUAGGGAAUCUUCCGCAAUGGGCGAAAGCUUGACGGAGCAACGCCGCGUGAGUGAUGAAGGUCUUCGGAUCGUAAAACUCUGUUAUUAGGGAAGAACAAAUGUGUAAGUAACUAUGCACGUCUUGACGGUACCUAAUCAGAAAGCCACGGCUAACUACGUG